CGUGUAGGCGGCCCUGCAAGUCAGUCGUGAAACCUAUCGGCUCAACUGAUAGCUUGCGAUUGAAACUGCAGAGCUUGAGUGCAGAAGAGGGGAGUGGAAUUCCCAGUGUAGCGGUGAAAUGCGUAGAUAUUGGGAGGAACACCAGUGGCGAAAGCGGCUCCCUGGCCUGUAACUGACGCUGAGGCGCGAAAGCGUGGGUAGCAAACA
This 207-nucleotide ribosomal RNA is filed under the name uncultured Sporotomaculum sp. RNAcentral describes it as "partial 16S ribosomal RNA". It matches the Rfam family "Bacterial small subunit ribosomal RNA", at positions 568 to 774 of the family's 1533-position model. Lineage: Bacteria; Bacillati; Bacillota; Clostridia; Eubacteriales; Desulfallaceae. The record is from RNAcentral.